GAGGGGCAGCGGGGAUAAGCUUGCUUAUCCGCCGGCGACCGGCGCACGGGUGCGGAACGCGUAUGGAACCUGCCCCUGUCAGGGGAAUAGCCCAGGGAAACUUGGAUUAAUGCCCCAUGGUACCGCGAUAUCGCAUGAUAUUGCGGUUAAAGAUUUAUCGGACAGGGAUGGCCAUGCGUACCAUUAGCUAGUUGGUAAGGUAACGGCUUACCAAGGCAACGAUGGUUAGGGGCCCUGAGAGGGGGAUCCCCCACACUGGUACUGAGACACGGACCAGACUCCUACGGGAGGCAGCAGUGAGGAAUAUUGGACAAUGGUCGGAAGACUGAUCCAGCCAUGCCGCGUGCAGGAUGACGGCCCUAUGGGUUGUAAACUGCUUUUAUACGGGAAGAAACCCGCCUACGUGUAGGCGGCUGACUGUACCGUAAGAAUAAGGACCGGCUAACUCCGUGCCAGCAGCCGCGGUAAUACGGAGGGUCCGAGCGUUAUCCGGAAUCAUUGGGUUUAAAGGGUCCGUAGGCGGGCCUGUAAGUCAGGGGUGAAAGUUUGUGGCUCAACCAUAAAAUUGCCUUUGAUACUGCAGGUCUUGAGUCAUGGUGGGGUUGCCGGAACAUGUGGUGUAGCGGUGAAAUGCAUAGAUAUCACAUAGAACACCGAUCGCGAAGGCAGGUGACCAACCAUGUACUGACGCUGAUGGACGAAAGCGUGGGUAGCGAACGGGAUUAGAUACCCCGGUAGUCCACGCCGUAAACGAUGGAUACUAGCUGUGGGGACUUUCGGACUCCGUGGCCAAGCGAAAG
This 800-nucleotide ribosomal RNA is filed under the name Allomuricauda sp. RNAcentral's name for it is "bacterial SSU rRNA". It matches the Rfam family "Bacterial small subunit ribosomal RNA", at positions 64 to 857 of the family's 1533-position model. The record is from RNAcentral. Lineage: Bacteria; Pseudomonadati; Bacteroidota; Flavobacteriia; Flavobacteriales; Flavobacteriaceae.